GAUGAACGCUGGCGGCGUGCCUAACACAUGCAAGUCGAGCGAACAGACGAGGAGCUUUUUCCUCUGACGUUAGCGGCGGACGGGUGAGUAAUACGUCGAUAGCCACCUUCUCAGUCUGGGUGGAUAACGGCAAGCCGGUGCUGAUACCACCUAAUAUUUUGGACCUCUUGGUUCAUUGGUGAAUGACGGUUUUGGUGUCACUGAUAGAUGGAUCCGCGCCGUAUUAGCUAGUUGGUAAGGUAACGGCGUACCAAGGCGACGAUGCGUAGCCGACCUGAGAGGAGGAUCGGCCACACUGGAACUGAGACACGGUCCAGACUCCUACGGGAGGCAGCAGUAGGGAAUAUUCCGCAAUGGGCGGAAGCCUGACGGAGCAACGCCGCGUGGGUGAUGAAGGUCUUCGGAUCGUAAAGCUCUGUUAUUGGGAAAGAACAACUGCGGAAGUAUCUAUGGGCGUCUUGACGGUACCUAAACAGAAAGCCCCGGCUAACUACGUG
Molecule: ribosomal RNA, 497 nt
Filed under: uncultured bacterium
Lineage: Bacteria
Description: partial 16S ribosomal RNA
Rfam family: Bacterial small subunit ribosomal RNA
Source: RNAcentral